AGAGUUUGAUCCUGGCUCAGAUUGAACGCUGGCGGCAUGCCUUACACAUGCAAGUCGAACGGCAGCGCGGGAGCAAUCCUGGCGGCGAGUGGCGAACGGGUGAGUAAUAUAUCGGAACGUGCCCUGUAGCGGGGGAUAACCUAUCGAAAGAUGGACUAAUACCGCAUACGCUCUACGGAGGAAAGCGGGGGUCGCAAGAC
Molecule: ribosomal RNA, 200 nt
Filed under: uncultured bacterium
Lineage: Bacteria
Description: partial 16S ribosomal RNA
Rfam family: Bacterial small subunit ribosomal RNA
Source: RNAcentral